UACGUAGGUGGCAAGCGUUAUCCGGAUUUAUUGGGCGUAAAGCGAGCGCAGGCGGUUGCUUAGGUCUGAUGUGAAAGCCUUCGGCUUAACCGAAGAAGUGCAUCGGAAACCGGGCGACUUGAGUGCAGAAGAGGACAGUGGAACUCCAUGUGUAGCGGUGGAAUGCGUAAAUAUAUGUAAGAACACCGGUGGCGAAGGCGGCUUGCUGGGCCUGUACUGACAUUGAGGCACGAAAGCGUGGGGAGCAAACAGG
This 253-nucleotide ribosomal RNA is filed under the name uncultured Lactobacillus sp. RNAcentral describes it as "partial 16S ribosomal RNA". It matches the Rfam family "Bacterial small subunit ribosomal RNA", at positions 524 to 776 of the family's 1533-position model. The record is from RNAcentral. Lineage: Bacteria; Bacillati; Bacillota; Bacilli; Lactobacillales; Lactobacillaceae.